This 71-nucleotide non-coding RNA is filed under the name Clostridiaceae bacterium BL-3. Its description in RNAcentral is "Glycine". It matches the Rfam family "Glycine riboswitch aptamer". Rfam says of the family: This family represents the bacterial glycine riboswitch. Lineage: Bacteria; Bacillati; Bacillota; Clostridia; Eubacteriales; Clostridiaceae. The record is from RNAcentral.
GGACGAAACUCUGGAAAGCUUUUGGCACCGAAGGAGUAAAUCUCUCAGGUAAAAAGGACAGGGUAAAAGAG